This 274-nucleotide ribosomal RNA is filed under the name uncultured bacterium. Its description in RNAcentral is "partial 16S ribosomal RNA". It matches the Rfam family "Bacterial small subunit ribosomal RNA", at positions 523 to 796 of the family's 1533-position model. The record is from RNAcentral.
AUACGGAGGGUGCGAGCGUUAAUCGGAAUUACUGGGCGUAAAGCGUGCGUAGGCGGUUUGCUAAGUCAGAUGUGAAAGCCCCGGGCUUAACCUGGGAACUGCAUUUGAUACUGGCAGACUAGAGUAUGAUAGAGGGGGGUAGAAUUCCUGGUGUAGCGGUGAAAUGCGUAGAUAUCAGGAGGAAUACCAGUGGCGAAGGCGGCCCCCUGGAUCAAUACUGACGCUGAGGUACGAAAGCGUGGGGCGCGAACAGGAGUAGAAACCCUAGUAGUCC